GUAGUACUUUCUCCGUCCGAAAAUAUUUGUCAUCAAAAUGGAUAAAAGCUGAUGUAUCUCGAACUAAAAUAGUUCGAGAUACAUCAGCUUUUAUCCAUUUUGAUGACAAGUAUUUUCGGACGGAGGGAGUACUAG
Triticum aestivum (bread wheat) is the source of this 135-nucleotide non-coding RNA. Lineage: Eukaryota; Viridiplantae; Streptophyta; Magnoliopsida; Poales; Poaceae. The record is from Rfam.